Molecule: ribosomal RNA, 431 nt
Filed under: uncultured bacterium
Lineage: Bacteria
Description: partial 16S ribosomal RNA
Rfam family: Bacterial small subunit ribosomal RNA
Source: RNAcentral
AACGAACGCUGGCGGCAUGCCUAACACAUGCAAGUCGAGCGCACCGCCAGGGGAGCGGCUGACCGGUUGGUAACGCGUGGGGAUAUGCUCUUUGCUACGGAAUAGUCUCGUGAAACUGGGGGUAAUACCGUAUACGCCAGUUGGGGGAAAGUUUUAUUGGCCAAGGAUUAGCGCGCGUUGGAUUAGCUAGUUGGUGGGGUAAUGGCCUACCAAGCCGACGAUCCAUAGCUGGUUUGAGAGUAUGGUCAGCCACACUGGGACUGAGACACGGCCCAGACUCCUACGGGAGGCAGCAGUGGGGAAUCUUGCAAAAUGGGGGCAAUCCUGAAGUUGCCAUGCCGCGAGAGUGAUGUAGUCCUUAAAGUUGUAAAGCUCUUUCAGCUGGGAAGAUAAUGACGGUACCAGCAGAAGAAGCCCCGGCUAACUCCGUG